AGUUUCAGAUAAGCAUGUUCAUUUCAAGAAACACACUCUGUGAGUGAGUGGUAUUGAACGCUGCUCCUGUGAAUGAAAAGUCAGCCAUGUUUACCCCUCCUCCUUAUACUGCCUUGUGUCUGGGAGAUAGACAUCUAGCUGGAGCAGGAGUCUUCCUGCUGUGCCCUCUUUGUGGAAUUGUACCAGAAUGGUGUAUCAAGAUCAUGCAGAAAUAUGCUGCAGACUGACAAACCAUACAGGAAUCAGACAUUCAUCUUGAGUGAGUUUGGCGGCUUUCGUUCUUGCACCAGAAAUAAUAUUAGACGGAGAGCCUUUUUGGCUGAACCUAGAGGCCAGAACAUCACACUGUUGGGCGAAAUCAACUUCAAGAGUACAGU
Long non-coding RNA from Bufo bufo (common toad), 377 nucleotides. RefSeq lists it as uncharacterized. The record is from RefSeq and is a predicted model, not a curated record. The transcript is spliced from 4 exons. Lineage: Eukaryota; Metazoa; Chordata; Amphibia; Anura; Bufonidae.